UUCGCCCUUAGAGUUUGAUCCUGGCUCAGGACGAACGCUGGCGGCGCGCCUAACACAUGCAAGUCGAACGAGCGAGAGAGAGCUUGCUUUCUCAAGCGAGUGGCGAACGGGUGAGUAACGCGUGAGGAACCUGCCUCAAAGAGGGGGACAACAGUUGGAAACGACUGCUAAUACCGCAUAAGCCCACAGCUCGGCAUCGAGCAGAGGGAAAAGGAGCAAUCCGCUUUGAGAUGGCCUCGCGUCCGAUUAGCUAGUUGGUGAGGUAAUGGCCCACCAAGGCAACGAUCGGUAGCCGGACUGAGAGGUUGAACGGCCACAUUGGGACUGAGACACGGCCCAGACUCCUACGGGAGGCAGCAGUGGGGAAUAUUGCACAAUGGGGGAAACCCUGAUGCAGCGACGCCGCGUGGAGGAAGAAGGUCUUCGGAUUGUAAACUCCUGUUGUUGAGGAAGAUAAUGACGGUACUCAACAAGGAAGUGACGGCUAACUACGUGCCAGCAGCCGCGGUAAAACGUAGGUCACAAGCGUUGUCCGGAAUUACUGGGUGUAAAGGGAGCGCAGGCGGGAAGACAAGUUGGAAGUGAAAUCUAUGGGCUCAACCCAUAAACUGCUUUCAAAACUGUUUUUCUUGAGUAGUGCAGAGGUAGGCGGAAUUCCCGGUGUAGCGGUGGAAUGCGUAGAUAUCGGGAGGAACACCAGUGGCGAAGGCGGCCUACUGGGCACCAACUGACGCUGAGGCUCGAAAGUGUGGGUAGCAAACAGGAUUAGAUACCCUGGUAGUCCACACCGUAAACGAUGAUUACUAGGUGUUGGAGGAUUGACCCCUUCAGUGCCGCAGUUAACACAAUAAGUAAUCCACCUGGGGAGUACGACCGCAAGGUUGAAACUCAAAGGAAUUGACGGGGGCCCGCACAAGCAGUGGAGUAUGUGGUUUAAUUCGACGCAACGCGAAGAACCUUACCAAGUCUUGACGUCCUGCGACGAUGCUGGAAACAGUAUUUUCCUUCGGGACGCAGAGACAGGUGGUGCAUGGUUGUCGUCAGCUCGUGUCGUGAGAUGUUGGGUUAAGUCCCGCAACGAGCGCAACCCUUACUGUCAGUUACUACGCAAGAGGACUCUGGCAGGACUGCCGUUGACAAAACGGAGGAAGGUGGGGAUGACGUCAAAUCAUCAUGCCCUUUAUGACUUGGGCUACACACGUACUACAAUGGCGUUAAACAAAGAGAAGCAAGACCGCGAGGUGGAGCAAAACUCAGAAACAACGUCCCGGUUCGGACUGCAGGCUGCAACUCGCCUGCACGAAGUCGGAAUUGCUAGUAAUCGUGGAUCAGCAUGCCACGGUGAAUACGUUCCCGGGCCUUGUACUCACCGCCCGUCA
RNAcentral lists this ribosomal RNA (1379 nucleotides) under uncultured bacterium. RNAcentral describes it as "16S ribosomal RNA". It matches the Rfam family "Bacterial small subunit ribosomal RNA". The record is from RNAcentral.